UGGGGAAUAUUGCACAAUGGGCGCAAGCCUGAUGCAGCCAUGCCGCGUGUAUGAAGAAGGCCUUCGGGUUGUAAAGUACUUUCAGCGGGGAGGAAGGCGAUAAGGUUAAUAACCUUGUCGAUUGACGUUACCCGCAGAAGAAGCAUCGGCUAACUCCGUGCCAGCAGCCGCGGCAAUACGGAGGGUGCAAGCGUUAAUCGGAAUUACUGGGCGUAAAGCGCACGCAGGCGGUCUGUCAAGUCGGAUGUGAAAUCCCCGGGCUCAACCUGGGAACUGCAUUCGAAACUGGCAGGCUAGAGUCUUGUAGAGGGGGGUAGAAUUCCAGGUGUAGCGGUGAAAUGCGUAGAGAUCUGGAGGAAUACCGGUGGCGAAGGCGGCCCCCUGGACAAAGACUGACGCUCAGGUGCGAAAGCGUGGGGAGCAAACA
RNAcentral lists this ribosomal RNA (427 nucleotides) under uncultured bacterium. RNAcentral's name for it is "partial 16S ribosomal RNA". It matches the Rfam family "Bacterial small subunit ribosomal RNA", at positions 355 to 774 of the family's 1533-position model. The record is from RNAcentral.